UACAGAGGUCUCAAGCGUUGUUCGGAUUCAUUGGGCGUAAAGGGUGCGUAGGUGGCGCGGUAAGUCGGGUGUGAAAUCUCGGAGCUUAACUCCGAAAUUGCAUUCGAUACUGCCGUGCUCGAGGACUGGAGAGGAGACUGGAAUUCAUGGUGUAGCAGUGAAAUGCGUAGAGAUCAUGAGGAAGACCAGUGGCGAAGGCGGGUCUCUGGACAGUUCCUGACACUGAGGCACGAAGGCCAGGGGAGCAAAUGGG
RNAcentral lists this ribosomal RNA (253 nucleotides) under uncultured bacterium. Its description in RNAcentral is "partial 16S ribosomal RNA". It matches the Rfam family "Bacterial small subunit ribosomal RNA", at positions 524 to 776 of the family's 1533-position model. The record is from RNAcentral.